Molecule: long non-coding RNA, 466 nt
Filed under: Apteryx rowi (Okarito brown kiwi)
Lineage: Eukaryota; Metazoa; Chordata; Aves; Apterygiformes; Apterygidae
Description: lncRNA (ENSARWG00000005741.1)
Source: RNAcentral
GAUUAAGCUGUUCUUUGGUAAAUUCAUGUUCUGUGGUAGUCUGGGGAUCUGCCCGCACCGGCGCCUUGGGAAGUGAAUCCUCUGUCCCCCUGAGAAGAGUGCCCAGAGCAGUGUGAAGUCUGUGCUGCUGCCCUCACCGGCAGGCCUGACUUGAGUGAUCCGUGGCAAAUCUUUGCUAGGGCAUUUUGUAGCUGUGGCUUUUUCCUGGUACUUGUAUUUACACGUAUUCCUGACCUCACAUUUAUUUCAGAGAUCUUCUGCGUGGAACAGGCUGUCUGGUGCUGUAGCAUGGCUAAUAGUAUUCCUCCCAUGGUUGCCUUUCAGUAUUAAGCGAAGGAAAUGCAAUAAGAAUCCCAGGUAGAACUUGCUACAAGCAUCUUGUUUUCGCAGUGCUAAAGAAUCGAAGAAUUUCCAGUGUGGGCACUAAUGCUGGUAGCUGGGCAUGCUGCAUGUGCGGCAGCGUGCU